Mus spicilegus (steppe mouse) is the source of this 104-nucleotide small nuclear RNA. The record is from Ensembl. Lineage: Eukaryota; Metazoa; Chordata; Mammalia; Rodentia; Muridae.
GUGCUCUGUAUGGCAGCAUGUAUAUUAAAAACUGAAUGAUACAGAGAUUUCCAUGGCUGUUGCCCAAAGAUGACACACAAAUUCAUGAAACAUUUCAUGUUUAA